Siniperca chuatsi (mandarin fish) is the source of this 2346-nucleotide long non-coding RNA. RefSeq lists it as uncharacterized. Lineage: Eukaryota; Metazoa; Chordata; Actinopteri; Centrarchiformes; Sinipercidae. The transcript has 3 exons. The record is from RefSeq and is a predicted model, not a curated record.
CUGUCAGGCAGUGGCGCUCCACUGUAUGGGUACAGCCCUAUAGUGCAGCAGCCUGAGAACACUCAUUCGCUCCACUUUUCCUCUUGCUUAGGCCCUAUAUGUGGAGCCAUCUGGACGUGGAGAGAGGGAGUCAGCUGCUCCACACACUGAGGCGCGGAGCCUGAAUCCGUCUCAGCUCAUUCUGUGGGAUCAUCUGCGUGGUGGGCUUACACCGUGGAAAAUGCGCUCUCCAUCAUUAGUUAAAAUCUCAGGAUAAAGGACAUCGCUUUUCUUACUUCAUCAUCCUUUGCUCCAAAUCAACAACUGUCUCAAAGGAGAACCCUUAAUGGUGUUUUUUGACAUUAACAUUUCGGAUUAGAUGAACAGACCAAGGUAAAAUGUGAGCAGGAGAAGCAAACGGUAUCAUCACAGAGAUCAUAAAAUGGUGUCGUGAGUAGUCUUUUGUCCGGGACCAUAGGAGAGUUCUGUUGCUAAAGGGAAGGACAAAAGCAGAAGGCACCACGGGUAUAAGGUUCCCCUGAGCAACAAUGCUGAAAGUUUCAACUUGCAGCACAUGGGUGUAACUUUAACUGGAAUACUGUGGAUCAAAGACUCACAAACAAAGUGGGUGGAAAUGCUGGAGGAGUGUCUGUGCUCAAGUGAAGGACAGGUUCACUAGAGAGAAAGCGGGAGAGACCAUUUAUGAAACACAGACCAGGCAAUCAAGGCUAAUUACUGAGACUGUGUUUUGUGAACUCAAAGGGCAGCAUGAUUCAAUUAACAGAAUUGAUGUGUAUUAUAAUUUUUUCAUUUUGAAAAAUAAAAUUACCCUAUGUACAAAACCAAACUUAAAUUGAAUUGAACAAAGGGAUUUUAACUUUGUCACUGCUUCAUGCACACUUAAUUGAGAAGAGGAUACACAGUAGAUUUUGUAUUGCAUCUCAAACAUUCAUUCUACACUCCUGUCUUCGCCUGUCAUGUGAGAGAAUUAUUCAGUUCUGCUUCUUUAAAUAAGAAACAUAGCCUUGAAAUUUGUGGGGCUUAAGGCAACUCAUCAGGUUAGAUCAGUGCAAUGUGGAUGUGUAACCUUUACACUGCAGUUGAACCUGCACAUACAAGUGUUAUGAAAGGUCCCUGUGGCACUCUGCUCUUCUGACAUGGAUUUGAAGACUUGCCACUUUAUUAGCUGCUAAGCCCCCAAUACUUGUUCUAUAUAGUGGAGGCCUAUGUUAUGAGCUGGGAUCUCAUUGUCUUGCGUUAUUAGAGGAAGAGUCUGCAGCACUCUCUUGUCCCCCCGAGAGAAUAGCCUGACUGUUUGAAGGGAAGCUACAAGUGCAAUUUAACCCAUCUUAUUUACAAUAUGAUCUGUUACAAGGACAUCAUUGCUGCCAGGAUUCACAUCUUAUAUAUCCCCUCAAUGUGAUUUUUUUAUGUUUUCAUUGAUUCGAGUAGAUUUUGUUUGAUGUUCACUUGAGCCUUUAAAAAAAAAAAAUCUCUGAAUCCAUCAGGUUAGAGUAGACUUGGAGAUAAAGUGAAAACUUUAGUGAUGUACACUACUCCAAUUCAGUAUGUUCAUAUGUAUCUCACUAUGGCAGUCAAAAUCAAAACAAUUGCUUUGUGCUUAAAGGUCAAAACAGUUAAUUAAUAAAUGUGAGUGGAUAUGGAGUUUUCAUGAUAACAUCAACAUCAACUCGGGGAAAACAAGCAGUUUGUGAUCAUCACUUGUGUCAGCAGCGCAUACUUAUCCUCCAAAAUGGAAAUUAUCUAUUGGCAUUGAAUAAUAAGUGCCAUAGUGCCAUCUAGUGCACAGAUUUGCACACUGAAAAAUGACAGUCCCUGUAUGUAAAAUAUACACAAUGCAUCUUACAUGUGUAGGUAUAGAGCCUCAUUGAAGAGGUACUACUGGUACGUUAGAAAUAAUACAAAGUAAAGGAUAGUGCACUAUUUACACUGAUUGCUUGGGUGCUUCAGUGUGAGGUUUAACUACACUGACUGACCACACUGAAAAUUUCCACUCAUGGGGGAAAUAAACACAGAGACAAUGGUUUGUCUUCCAAGCCAGGUCUUUGACAACACUCAGUUGUGGAAAGCCGCAAGGAUAAUCUGCUUCAGACAAUGAGACAAUGUUGAAGGCUGUGCAUGCAAAUUAUGCUCUGCCAUCUAAAUUACAAAGACAUACACAGACCUCAAGUCAUCAGGCCUCAUAUCUCACUCAUCGGGCCUCCUGGCUGUUAGGUUGCCAGAGGAUGCUAUAGAAACAACAGAACAGAAAUAAUAAGAAAAAACACAGGAGCCAAAACAAGAGUCUUGAAUAAUUGAUUGUGUUUGUCUUUACUGUUUGUGUGUGUGUGUGUGUGUGUGUGUGUG